This 2916-nucleotide ribosomal RNA is filed under the name Vibrio parahaemolyticus. RNAcentral's name for it is "bacterial LSU rRNA". It matches the Rfam family "Bacterial large subunit ribosomal RNA". The record is from RNAcentral. Lineage: Bacteria; Pseudomonadati; Pseudomonadota; Gammaproteobacteria; Vibrionales; Vibrionaceae.
GUUGUAUGGUUAAGUGACUAAGCGUACACGGUGGAUGCCUUGGCAGUCAGAGGCGAUGAAAGACGUAGUAACUUGCGAUAAGCCCAGAUUAGGUAGUAACAACCAUUUGAGUCUGGGAUUUCUGAAUGGGGAAACCCACUUACAUAAGUAAGUAUCAUUAACUGAAUACAUAGGUUAAUGAGGCGAACCGGGGGAACUGAAACAUCUAAGUACCCCGAGGAAAAGAAAUCAACCGAGAUUCCGAAAGUAGCGGCGAGCGAAAUUGGACUAGCCCUUAAGCUUUACACGCGUUAGACGAACGGUCUGGAAAGUCCGACGAUACAGGGUGAUAGUCCCGUAGUUGACGACGUGUGUUCAGUGAAAUCGAGUAGGGCGGGACACGUGAUAUCCUGUCUGAAUAUGGGGGGACCAUCCUCCAAGGCUAAAUACUACUGACUGACCGAUAGUGAACCAGUACCGUGAGGGAAAGGCGAAAAGAACCCCUGUGAGGGGAGUGAAAUAGAACCUGAAACCGUGUACGUACAAGCAGUAGGAGCACCUUCGUGGUGUGACUGCGUACCUUUUGUAUAAUGGGUCAGCGACUUAUAUUCAGUGGCAAGGUUAACCAUCUAGGGGAGCCGUAGGGAAACCGAGUCUUAACUGGGCGCUUCAGUCUCUGGAUAUAGACCCGAAACCAGGUGAUCUAGCCAUGGGCAGGUUGAAGGUUGAGUAACAUCAACUGGAGGACCGAACCGACUAAUGUUGAAAAAUUAGCGGAUGACUUGUGGCUAGGGGUGAAAGGCCAAUCAAACCUGGAGAUAGCUGGUUCUCCCCGAAAGCUAUUUAGGUAGCGCCUCGGACGAAUACUACUGGGGGUAGAGCACUGUUAAGGCUAGGGGGUCAUCCCGACUUACCAACCCUUUGCAAACUCCGAAUACCAGUAAGUACUAUCCGGGAGACACACGGCGGGUGCUAACGUCCGUCGUGGAGAGGGAAACAACCCAGACCGCCAGCUAAGGUCCCAAAUUACUACUAAGUGGGAAACGAUGUGGGAAGGCUCAGACAGCCAGGAUGUUGGCUUAGAAGCAGCCAUCAUUUAAAGAAAGCGUAAUAGCUCACUGGUCGAGUCGGCCUGCGCGGAAGAUGUAACGGGGCUAAGUAGUAAACCGAAGCUGCGGCAAUAUACUUUUGUAUAUUGGGUAGGGGAGCGUUCUGUAAGCGGUUGAAGGUGUGUGGUAACGCAUGCUGGACGUAUCAGAAGUGCGAAUGCUGACAUGAGUAACGAUAAAGGGGGUGAAAAACCUCCUCGCCGGAAGACCAAGGGUUCCUGUCCAACGUUAAUCGGGGCAGGGUAAGUCGACCCCUAAGGCGAGGCCGAAAGGCGUAGUCGAUGGGAAACGGGUUAAUAUUCCCGUACUUCUUACAAUUGCGAUGGGGGGACGGAGAAGGCUAGGUGGGCCUGGCGACGGUUGUCCAGGUUCAAGUGCGUAGGCUUAAGAGUUAGGUAAAUCCGGCUCUUUUUAAGGCUGAGACACGACGUCGAGCACCUACGGGUGUGAAGUCAUUGAUGCCAUGCUUCCAGGAAAAGCCUCUAAGCUUCAGAUUGUAAGGAAUCGUACCCCAAACCGACACAGGUGGUCGGGUAGAGAAUACCAAGGCGCUUGAGAGAACUCGGGUGAAGGAACUAGGCAAAAUGGUACCGUAACUUCGGGAGAAGGUACGCUCUUGAUGGUGAAGUCCCUUGCGGAUGGAGCUGACGAGAGUCGCAGAUACCAGGUGGCUGCAACUGUUUAUUAAAAACACAGCACUGUGCAAAAUCGUAAGAUGACGUAUACGGUGUGACGCCUGCCCGGUGCCGGAAGGUUAAUUGAUGGGGUUAGACUUCGGUCGAAGCUCUUGAUCGAAGCCCCGGUAAACGGCGGCCGUAACUAUAACGGUCCUAAGGUAGCGAAAUUCCUUGUCGGGUAAGUUCCGACCUGCACGAAUGGCGUAAUGAUGGCCACGCUGUCUCCACCCGAGACUCAGUGAAAUUGAAAUCGCUGUGAAGAUGCAGUGUACCCGCGGCUAGACGGAAAGACCCCGUGAACCUUUACUACAGCUUGGCACUGAACAUUGACCCUACAUGUGUAGGAUAGGUGGGAGGCUUUGAAGCACGUACGCCAGUAUGUGUGGAGCCGUCCUUGAAAUACCACCCUUGUAGUGUUGAUGUUCUAACGUCGACCCCUAAUCGGGGUUGCGGACAGUGCCUGGUGGGUAGUUUGACUGGGGCGGUCUCCUCCCAAAGAGUAACGGAGGAGCACGAAGGUGGGCUAAUCACGGUUGGACAUCGUGAGGUUAGUGCAAUGGCAUAAGCCCGCUUGACUGCGAGAAUGACAAUUCGAGCAGGUGCGAAAGCAGGUCAUAGUGAUCCGGUGGUUCUGAAUGGAAGGGCCAUCGCUCAACGGAUAAAAGGUACUCCGGGGAUAACAGGCUGAUACCGCCCAAGAGUUCAUAUCGACGGCGGUGUUUGGCACCUCGAUGUCGGCUCAUCACAUCCUGGGGCUGAAGUCGGUCCCAAGGGUAUGGCUGUUCGCCAUUUAAAGUGGUACGCGAGCUGGGUUUAGAACGUCGUGAGACAGUUCGGUCCCUAUCUGCCGUGGGCGUUGGAAGAUUGAAGGGGGCUGCUCCUAGUACGAGAGGACCGGAGUGGACGAACCUCUGGUGUUCGGGUUGUGUCGCCAGACGCAUUGCCCGGUAGCUAAGUUCGGAAUCGAUAACCGCUGAAAGCAUCUAAGCGGGAAGCGAGCCCUGAGAUGAGUCUUCCCUGAUACUUUAAGUAUCCUAAAGGGUUGUCGGAGACUACGACGUUGAUAGGUCAAGUGUGUAAGUGCUGUGAGGCAUUGAGCUAACUGAUACUAAUUGCCCGUGAGGCUUAACCAUACAACACCCAAGGGGUUU